GAUGAAGAACGCAGCGAAAUGCGAUAAGUAAUGUGAAUUGCAGAAUUCAGUGAAUCAUCGAAUCUUUGAACGCACAUUGCGCCCCCUGGUAUUCCGGGGGGCAUGCCUGUUCGAGCGUCAUUUCAACCCUCAAGCUCAGCUUGGUAUUGAGUCCAUGUCAGUAAUGGCAGGCUCUAAAAUCAGUGGCGGCGCCGCUGGGUCCUGAACGUAGUAAUAUCUCUCGUUACAGGUUCUCGGUGUGCUUCUGCCAAAACCCAAAUUUUCUAUGGUUGACCUCGGAUCAGGUAGGGAUACCCGCUGAACUUAAGCAUAUCAAUAAGCGGAGGA
RNAcentral lists this unclassified non-coding RNA (327 nucleotides) under soil metagenome. RNAcentral's name for it is "partial contains 5.8S ribosomal RNA, internal transcribed spacer 2, and large subunit ribosomal RNA". The stretch from base 1 to 120 matches the Rfam family "5.8S ribosomal RNA", at positions 35 to 154 of the family's 154-position model. The record is from RNAcentral.